Molecule: long non-coding RNA, 909 nt
Organism: Rhineura floridana
Lineage: Eukaryota; Metazoa; Chordata; Lepidosauria; Squamata; Rhineuridae
Exons: 3
Source: RefSeq, a predicted model, not a curated record
AGCUGCAGCCAAGGUGUGCCUUAUAAAGAGCAAGGUUGACAGCAGGUGUGAGUCCUCAGCGUUUGGGCCUUAAGGAGACAGGCCUGCCUCUCUUCUGCCUGACCUUCUGCUGUCUACGUUCUGCAGAUGCAGAGCAAUAUUGUUGGCACAUAUGGCCUCUGUCUAUGACUGUAAAUUGCACUACCUGCCAAUCAGCUACCAGGCUAGGUUCAAGGUGCAGGUACUGGUCUACAAAGCCCUAUACUGUUUGGAACCAGGAUGCCUAAAAGAUCGCCUCAUCCCCACCUACCCAACCAAUCAUUGCAAUCUGCAGAAGAGGACAUCCUGCAGAUACCAUCCUCUGGAACUCCUUCCCAUUGCAUUUCAGAAAGGACUGUCUGCCUCUGUGUGUUUGCGUGUAUGGGAGCACUAGGUGACAGAUGGAUUCACAAAUGGAACAACAUGGACAUACGUGUGCAAAAGCAAGGAAGCUGUUUUCAAUGAACUUUUAGACCUCAGAAAUAUGGAGCUCGUCAUGUUGGGUUGUGACAUGUUUCCCUGCCUACUUAGUACAAGUGAUGGUAAAUUGUCUCAAAGCAGGUGUCUGAUCCACUCAGACACCCAAAUCCCCCUCCCCCAAACCACACACAGCUUUUCUUUCUGCACAAAGAAUAAAGCUCAUUGUUUCUUCUGACCUUGGUAAACAGAAACAGUUAUCUCCAGUUACUAAGCUCUGGCUCUUCAGACAAGCCAGCUAGAGCUCAUGAGCAUAUUGUCAACCCAUGAACAUAUUUUUAAAACUCAAAGUUUUCUGAAUUAAAGAGAACAUCUCAUUUUCUUCCAGACACUUAACAGAAAGCAUAUAUUAAUUAGCAAUUUAGGUUUUGAUAACAUGUCUAUGUAAUUCCUAUCCAGAUGGUUUAAAAAAUA